This 879-nucleotide unclassified non-coding RNA is filed under the name Hevea brasiliensis (rubber tree). Lineage: Eukaryota; Viridiplantae; Streptophyta; Magnoliopsida; Malpighiales; Euphorbiaceae. The record is from RNAcentral.
UCCAGAAACACAUGCAUCUUCAUAUGAGUUAACUUGUAAUAUGAGUUACAAGUUCAAAAAUAUAAAAAGAAAUGGUUAUUUGGCCACAAAGAUAUCAAUGGGACAUACUCUAAUCUAUGAUAACUUUGUUUCUACGUUCCAUUUUGUUACAUAAACGAAAGAAGAAAACAAGAAUCAUGGUAAUAUUCCGUCAGAACAGAGAAAGGAACAAGAUUUUAUCAACAGCUAAGAUUAAUUUUAAUUUGGAGAGCUAACUGUAGUACAAGGACGGGCACUUCGUUAAAUAUAAACAUCUUCUUCAGGUUUGACUUUGUCUAAUAACCUUGAUUCCACUAGCAUAUGUGCAUAGGUACGUUGUGCUUCUUUCAGCUCCUUCCGAAGCUUAUUAACCUUUGAAUGAAGUUCUUCCUCUCUCUUCUCACAUUCACAGCACUGUGCGCGGAGCUUUUCAUUCUCUUGAAUGAGAUGGGCAGCCUCUUGAUCUUGUGAGCCACUUGAAGUGAGAGUCAGAAUUUCUUGACUUCGCUCACCACCAGUUAAUCAACUAUUAGUCCAGCUGUCCGUUUCAAGUUUUCAUGUUCUAUUGGGUGAUCAACUGCUUUCCUUUUUGAAGCUCCUUGUUUAGAGUUAUUUUGAAAGACUGGUGUUACAGUUCCCCGUACUGUAAUGUUUGAACCAACCGCACCAGAUGAGUUUCCCAAGACAAUAGGUUUAUAUGACCCAUGUUGUUGUCUAGAUUCAGAUGAAGCCUGAGGAGUUAUCGGACCCUGAGGUCUUUUCUUUGGAAAGUAACCGAGGAGCCCGCAGUGAUAAUCCCAGUAUUCCCAUGUCAUCUCCUUUAAUCGUACUUCAAGCUUUUGAAAAAGAGGGGUUUUCUCG